This is a non-coding RNA of Myotis brandtii (Brandt's bat), 81 nucleotides long. The record is from Rfam. Lineage: Eukaryota; Metazoa; Chordata; Mammalia; Chiroptera; Vespertilionidae.
AGACCCAGAGAGUGAGGCAGAGUCUGAUCCUCAGCCUCCGUGGCAGCUGUUGAUCCGCUGUUGUCUCUCUCUCUCUCUCUG